UACGAAGGGUGCAAGCGUUACUCGGAAUUACUGGGCGUAAAGCGUGCGUUGGUGGUUCGUUAAGUCUGAUGUGAAAGCCCUGGGCUCAACCUGGGAAUGGCAUUGGAUACUGGCGAUCUAGAGUGCGGUAGAGGGCAGUGGAAUUCCCGGUGUAGCAGUGAAAUGCGUAGAGAUCGGGAGGAACAUCUGUGGCGAAGGCGACUGCCUGGACCAGCACUGACACUGAGGCACGAAAGCGUGGGGAGCAAACAGG
Molecule: ribosomal RNA, 253 nt
Filed under: uncultured bacterium
Lineage: Bacteria
Description: partial 16S ribosomal RNA
Rfam family: Bacterial small subunit ribosomal RNA
Source: RNAcentral